This 257-nucleotide ribosomal RNA is filed under the name uncultured bacterium. RNAcentral's name for it is "partial 16S ribosomal RNA". It matches the Rfam family "Bacterial small subunit ribosomal RNA", at positions 524 to 776 of the family's 1533-position model. The record is from RNAcentral.
UACGGAGGGGGCAAGCGUUGUUCGGAAUUACUGGGCGUAAAGGGCGCGCAGGCGGCUGCUCAAGUCAGGCGUGAAAAGGCCUGGGCUCAACCCCGGGAAUUGCGCUUGAGACUGGGCUGGCUUGAGUGCGGGAGAGGAUGGUGGAAUUCCCAGUGUAGAGGUGAAAUUCGUAGAUAUUGGGAAGAACACCGGUGGCGAGGGCGGCCAUCUGGACCGCAACUGACGCUGAGGCGCGAAAAGCGUGGGGAGCGAACAGG